This 77-nucleotide transfer RNA is filed under the name Diaphorencyrtus aligarhensis. Its description in RNAcentral is "tRNA-Cys". The record is from RNAcentral. Lineage: Eukaryota; Metazoa; Arthropoda; Insecta; Hymenoptera; Encyrtidae.
UGUUUAAUAAUUUAAGUUUUAAAAAUUUUAAAUUGCAAAUUUAAAUAUAUUAUAUUAUUGUUACAUAAUUUAAACAU